Molecule: long non-coding RNA, 708 nt
Filed under: Elaeis guineensis (African oil palm)
Lineage: Eukaryota; Viridiplantae; Streptophyta; Magnoliopsida; Arecales; Arecaceae
Description: long non-coding RNA (EGUI_LNC013070)
Source: RNAcentral
GCAGCAGCAGUGGUCCAUUAGAAGAUGCAACCGAUGGGAAAGUAACUAAUGAUCCAAGUAAGCUUUUUUGUUUCACUAAAGUAGUGGACACUGGUUGAAAGUAACCAGAGGUACAAUCAUGUUCUCGUACUCUGGUUAACAUAACCAGGAUCCAUGGUUCAAAGAGGAGAGGACAGGCUAACAGGAGGGGCUUCUUUGAAAUAAAUAUAACUUGGAUUUGCAAAUAGGGAUAAGGGAAGGUCUAAUAUGCAAUAAUGACAACACCCUCAGUCUGCAUGGUAUGCUUCUUGUUUUAUCAGCAGACCGCUUGAGUCCUUUGCAGGAUGAGAGAUAAAAACCUAAAACGUUACUUUUCCUCCUCUCCUCCACUGUACAUUUCUGUUUUCUAUAAUUUUGCUGACUUCUCUAUUUAUUGAAGUCCUUGAGAUCGUGUUGUUUCAAGCAUUAGCUAUGUUGAUCUUGCCAUGGCUCACUACUUGUUUUUCUGGAGGAUCUGAUUGUUAUAUGAUUUUAUUUUACUAACUCUGAUUUAUUAAAGCUGGUAGCACCAUUUUCCAAAACCAAUCUCUUCUUUCCUGCUAGGAAUGAUCCAACUAUACAUCAUAACUAAUAAUAAGUAUAAAAAAUUUAAUCUUGAUGCAGAAAAAACAUACCUCCAGUCAUUAUUGUUUAAGCCUAAAGACGAAUCAAAGAUGAACAUUGCGAGAA